RNAcentral lists this ribosomal RNA (446 nucleotides) under uncultured bacterium. RNAcentral's name for it is "partial 16S ribosomal RNA". It matches the Rfam family "Bacterial small subunit ribosomal RNA", at positions 338 to 795 of the family's 1533-position model. The record is from RNAcentral.
CCUACGGGUGGCAGCAGUCGAGAAUCAUUCACAAUGGGGGAAACCCUGAUGGUGCGACGCCGCGUGGGGGAAUGAAGGUCUUCGGAUUGUAAACCCCUGUCAUGUGGGCGCAAAUUAAAAAGAUAGUACCACAAGAGGAAGAGACGGCUAACUCUGUGCCAGCAGCCGCGGUAAUACAGAGGUCUCAAGCGUUGUCCGGAAUCACUGGGCGUAAAGGGUGCGCAGGCUGUUUCGUAAGUCGUGUGUGAAAGGCGCGGGCUCAACCCGCGGACGGCACAUGAUACUGCGAGACUAGAGUAAGGGAGAGGGAACCGGAAUUCCCAGUGUAGCAGUGAAAUGCGUAGAUAUCGGGAAGAACACUCAUGGCGAAGGCGGGUUCCUGGACAGUAACUGACGCUGAGACACGAAGGCCAGGGGAGCGAAAGGGAUUAGAUACCCGGGUAGUC